UCCACAGCAUUUAGCUGUGAGGUUUUGGUGGAUUCGGGAAUUGUGAGACAGGUGUGCCAUGUCCAAUGUCAGCUAGGACAUGAAAUAUGGGGUUAAGUUGCUCAACGAGCGCAACCCUCUCCUAUAUGCCAGCGAGCAGGCCGGGAACUCAAAUGAGAAGGCCCGUGAUAAAUUGGAGGAAGGUGGGGAUUCCUCAAGUCAUCAUGUGGCAGUCGACCAGGGUUACCCACGUGAUACAAGGCCACAACAAUAAGAGCGCCCUCGCGAGAGCAAGCGGACCUCCAAAAGUAACACGAGUCCGGGACAGACUUGCAACCUCGGUUUCACGAAGUCGGAAGGCAUAGAAAUCAUAGAUCAGAA
Molecule: ribosomal RNA, 360 nt
Filed under: Klebsiella sp. VN59
Lineage: Bacteria; Pseudomonadati; Pseudomonadota; Gammaproteobacteria; Enterobacterales; Enterobacteriaceae
Description: bacterial SSU rRNA
Rfam family: Bacterial small subunit ribosomal RNA
Source: RNAcentral